Molecule: long non-coding RNA, 356 nt
Filed under: Canis lupus dingo (dingo)
Lineage: Eukaryota; Metazoa; Chordata; Mammalia; Carnivora; Canidae
Description: lncRNA (ENSCAFG00020020042.1)
Source: RNAcentral
GGAAAGUUCUUCUAAAUGGCGGCGGUGGGAAGGAGGGGCAGCACUUCCGCUGGUGUCUCUGCACUUUCUCUCUGACUCUGGAAUUUCCAUUUCUAAACCUCAGCUGAUCUGCCUGCAAGAAAAAAGAGAAAUGCCGUGGAUUCCAGAUGUAAGGGAAAUUCAGGAUGAAGAGGACCAAAGCACUUGACCAAAUGGAAUGGACAGCAGUCAAGAACUCGUUGAAGAUCAGGAUGUUGAAUCAAAGAUUCUCACAACAUACAACUGAAGGAGAAAAUAAAAUGAAAACUAUAGAAAGCAAGAAAUUUUGAGGUGGCUCACAAGAACAGGAGAGAAAAAAUGAGGAGGAGACAUUUCAG